Eucalyptus grandis is the source of this 878-nucleotide long non-coding RNA. RefSeq lists it as uncharacterized. The record is from RefSeq and is a predicted model, not a curated record. Lineage: Eukaryota; Viridiplantae; Streptophyta; Magnoliopsida; Myrtales; Myrtaceae. The transcript has 3 exons.
CAGACAGAGUCUUGGUUUCUGGUCAUUCCCUGGCGAUUGACAAAUCUAGCAUGAAUGGGGAGUGCAAAAUUGUUCACAAGGAUGCAAGGGAACCAUUGUUAAUGUCUGGCUGCAAAGUUGCAGACGGCAAUGGCACUAUGCUUGUAAGUAUUUUGUCCAUUCUUCUACUUUGCUUUCCUCAUCAUACUUCUCUGUGCUUUUAUUUCACAUCACAGAGAAGAUCCACACUUCAUAAUUAGGCUAAUUUACUUGAAACAUAUUGCUACACUACCUCGUUGUUUGCUAAAUAUGGGUUGAAAAAUUGAAAGUCAUGGGUUCUUGAGCUAAUUUGGUAAAGGAGCAUGACUCUUUUAAUCUCAACUAAACUCUGUUCUGAGUUAGAGGGUGGCCCCUUAAAAAAGAGUUCAAGAAAGUACUGGAGAUAUUUAAAAAUAUACAGUUUAUUCUGUCCUUGAGGCCUCGUUAGGAGGAGGUGAGUCAAAUUUGAAUUGAAUGGAUGGCUCUGUCCCUUUGAACGUGCACUUAUAUGCUUCACUCUGGCUGUCAUGACUACCUGCGUGUUUCUCAAUGGAUUUCUAGCCGUAGGGUUGUCUCUGAUAUCAGAAUUAGUUUGCCAAAAAUGGUGCUUCCUGAGAUGGAGGUUUACUCUAUCCCAAGUCUGUCUUUAUCACAAAUCAAGGCUUAUUUCCACCUGUCUUCUGCCUCACUUUUCUGUUUUUGCCUGUCUGGUGACGAGUGUGAGUAUUAACAUUGAGUGGGGUUUGCCUAUGGCUAGUAUAUUGGAAGAUACUGGGGAAGAGACACCCCGGCAGGUGGGUAUACUAUUUCAUUGUUGGACUGCAUGCAGCUGUUGCUGUUUUGGCUGCUCUUUUAGCAAG